RNAcentral lists this transfer RNA (70 nucleotides) under Capsicum annuum. It matches the Rfam family "tRNA". Rfam says of the family: Transfer RNA (tRNA) molecules are approximately 80 nucleotides in length. Their secondary structure includes four short double-helical elements and three loops (D, anti-codon, and T loops). Further hydrogen bonds mediate the characteristic L-shaped molecular structure. tRNAs have two regions of fundamental functional importance: the anti-codon, which is responsible for specific mRNA codon recognition, and the 3' end, to which the tRNAs corresponding amino acid is attached (by aminoacyl-tRNA synthetases). tRNAs cope with the degeneracy of the genetic code in two manners: having more than one tRNA (with a specific anti-codon) for a particular amino acid; and 'wobble' base-pairing, i.e. permitting non-standard base-pairing at the 3rd anti-codon position. Lineage: Eukaryota; Viridiplantae; Streptophyta; Magnoliopsida; Solanales; Solanaceae. The record is from Rfam by way of RNAcentral.
AUAUCCUUAGCUUAGUGCUAGAGCAUUUGACUGCAGAUCAAGAGUUCACCAAUUGACUUGGUAGGACCUU